UACAGAGGUCUCAAGCGUUGUCCGGAAUCAUUGGGCGUAAAGGGCGCGUAGGUGGCCACUUCAAGCGUGCGGUGAAAGUCGGGGGCUCAACCCCUGAUCGGCCGUGCGAACUGGGGGGCUGGAGCACUGUAGAGGCAGGCGGAAUUCCGGGUGUAGCGGUGGAAUGCGUAGAGAUCCGGAAGAACACCUGCGGUGUAGACGGCUUACUGGACCAUAACUGACGCUGAGGCACGAAAGCGUGGGUAGCAAACAGG
RNAcentral lists this ribosomal RNA (254 nucleotides) under uncultured bacterium. Its description in RNAcentral is "partial 16S ribosomal RNA". It matches the Rfam family "Bacterial small subunit ribosomal RNA", at positions 524 to 776 of the family's 1533-position model. The record is from RNAcentral.